Molecule: ribosomal RNA, 253 nt
Filed under: uncultured bacterium
Lineage: Bacteria
Description: partial 16S ribosomal RNA
Rfam family: Bacterial small subunit ribosomal RNA
Source: RNAcentral
UACGGGGGGGGCAAGCGUUGUUCGGAAUUACUGGGCGUAAAGGGUUCGUAGGUGGCCAACUAAGUCAGACGUGAAAUCCCCAGGCUUAGCCUGGGAACUGCAUUCGAGACUGCAUUGCUAGAGUAUGGGAGAGGGAAGUGGAAUUUCCGGUGUAGCGGUGAAAUGCGUAGAUAUCGGAAGGAACAUCAGUGGCGAAAGCGACUUCCUGGACCAAUACUGACGCUCAUGUGCGAAAGCGUGGGGAGCAAACAGG